Molecule: transfer RNA, 73 nt
Filed under: Proteiniclasticum ruminis
Lineage: Bacteria; Bacillati; Bacillota; Clostridia; Eubacteriales; Clostridiaceae
Also listed under: 2 other names
Description: Clostridium sp. D3RC-2 tRNA
Rfam family: tRNA
About the family: Transfer RNA (tRNA) molecules are approximately 80 nucleotides in length. Their secondary structure includes four short double-helical elements and three loops (D, anti-codon, and T loops). Further hydrogen bonds mediate the characteristic L-shaped molecular structure. tRNAs have two regions of fundamental functional importance: the anti-codon, which is responsible for specific mRNA codon recognition, and the 3' end, to which the tRNAs corresponding amino acid is attached (by aminoacyl-tRNA synthetases). tRNAs cope with the degeneracy of the genetic code in two manners: having more than one tRNA (with a specific anti-codon) for a particular amino acid; and 'wobble' base-pairing, i.e. permitting non-standard base-pairing at the 3rd anti-codon position.
Source: Rfam by way of RNAcentral
GGGGGCGUAGCUCAGCUGGGAGAGUGCCACACUGGCAGUGUGGAAGUCGUGGGUUCGAGUCCCAUCGUCUCCA